CUUCGGACCUCUCGCGUCAAGAUAUGCCUAGGUGGGAUUAGCUAGUUGGUGAGGUAAUGGCUCACCAAGGCGACGAUCCCUAGCUGGUCUGAGAGGAUGAUCAGCCACACUGGAACUGAGACACGGUCCAGACUCCUACGGGAGGCAGCAGUGGGGAAUAUUGCACAAUGGGCGAAAGCCUGAUGCAGCCAUGCCGCGUGUAUGAAGAAGGCCUUCGGGUUGUAAAGUACUUUCAGUUGUGAGGAAGGG
This 249-nucleotide ribosomal RNA is filed under the name Vibrio splendidus. RNAcentral describes it as "partial 16S ribosomal RNA". It matches the Rfam family "Bacterial small subunit ribosomal RNA", at positions 209 to 452 of the family's 1533-position model. Lineage: Bacteria; Pseudomonadati; Pseudomonadota; Gammaproteobacteria; Vibrionales; Vibrionaceae. The record is from RNAcentral.